This 246-nucleotide small RNA is filed under the name Paramuricea clavata. Lineage: Eukaryota; Metazoa; Cnidaria; Anthozoa; Malacalcyonacea; Plexauridae. The record is from RNAcentral.
GGAUUUGUACCAAGAUCAUGCCAAGAUCUUACAUAAAUCUUGCAAGAUCUUUCCAAGUUCUUGCAGGAUCUUGCAAGAUCUUGCCAUUAUCAUGGCAAGAUCUUGUCAUGAUCAUGGCAAGAUCUUGCAAGAUCUUGCCAUUAUCAUGGCAAGAUCUUGUCAUGAUCAUGGCAAGAUCUUACAAGAUGUUUGGCAAGAUCUUGCAAGAUCCUGCAAGAUCUUAGGUAAGAUCCUGCAAGAACUUGG